Molecule: non-coding RNA, 148 nt
Organism: Caenorhabditis elegans
Lineage: Eukaryota; Metazoa; Nematoda; Chromadorea; Rhabditida; Rhabditidae
Source: Ensembl
AAAUAAUCAAUAAAAACUGAAAUCCACGUCGCAGGAUGCCGUAGCUACAGGUGCAAAGAGAUUAUAUCUGGCUAGCUGUUUCCACGCAGCGGGACGCUGCGACAAACGCACGCAAGGAUCCGGAAGAAAAAGAGAAACGAAACAGAAA